Scylla paramamosain (green mud crab) is the source of this 1983-nucleotide long non-coding RNA. RefSeq lists it as uncharacterized. The record is from RefSeq and is a predicted model, not a curated record. Lineage: Eukaryota; Metazoa; Arthropoda; Malacostraca; Decapoda; Portunidae. The transcript has 3 exons.
CCAGGAAGGUUGCAAUAGAAUCAUACUUCUUCAGCAUCCAGUGGCGAUUUCUCUCCCUGAUCUCAGAGAUGUGGAAGCUGGUCAUUCUGAAGGAAAGAACCAAAAGAGUGGAUUAAAUAUUUGUUCCUGUAGAGCAGGAAAGGACAACUGGGAGUUAAUAUUUUACAUACCUGGCAACAUUGGUGGAGGUGUCCAAGAAGUUCUGCUUGGCACCUUUACAGUCUAGGCCGAUGGCAAUGAAGUCUCCCUUGUACUCGCGCAUCAUCAGUUUGAAGUCAUCAUAAGUUUGAGGCCGAAGGUGAGCUCAUAUGCCUCCCUGAAGAAGUGCUCCAGACGCUUUUGUCGUCGUUCCUUGGUCUCAGCAUUGGCCAACAUUUGCUCCUUGUAGGUGUGCACUUUCUCCACAACCUUGCGGUGGGAGUUCAUGAACUGCUCCACCUUGUUGAUGAACUUGCGCCGAGCAGCAUCUGUGUCAAACUCCAGCACCAGGUCGUGAUCCUUUGGUGGUCGCAACAACACCAUGGGUUUCCUUCGAGCAUCUUGAGUAAUUUCCACCACAAGAGUGUCUACAUCACCGACAUACAGUGUUCGCAGUUUUUCUCCUUUGCGAUUCACAGUGGAAAUCUCUUGUUUUGGGCCAAACUUGACUUUCACAAUCCGCUUGUGAUUCUGGAUGAGGAGGAGAACUAAUUAUUAAAGGAAAGAAAAGGAAUUAAACAUGUGCUUUAUUAUGUGGUAUUAAAAGCUACCAAUUUUGAGAGUAACCAAUGAGCUCAAAGUAAUCCUGGAAAAAAGAUAUCCACUUGAUAGCAUAUAUAUAAUAGUACAAGAAACAGGAGCAGAUAUGAUGUAUAUAUUCAAGUAUACUGUAAGACCUCAAUUUAAGCAGUUUUUGAUGUGCAACCAAACCUCUUGUGUGUGAUAAGUUUCUGCUUGUCACAUGUUAUAUUUUUCUCCAUGACUGCAGAGUUUCCCUCCCUGGCCCCUGCUGCUGCACUAUCAUGCCAGCAUAAUACAGUUGUGGCACAGCGCUGUUUAGCUCACCUGGUGCAGCCACUCUUUGACCAUCAUCUUGUCAACACUGCGGCCAUUAUUGUUCUCCUCCUGUUUGGUCUUGAAGUGACGGCGACGUGAGUUUUGGAACUUAACUGUGGCGUACCCAGCACCAGCACACACCAGUGGCACAGCAGCCAGCAGGAUGCAGGAAUAGAUGUAGGUCACCUCAGAUCCCUGCAAUAAGCCACAGCAUAUGAUGGUUUUACUUCUGUGAAGUACAUGUGAUAUUUUCUUUUUCUUUUAAUGUAAGAGGAGCACUGGCUAAGGAUAACAAAAAGAGUGAAAAAGGCCCACUGAGAAUGUGUCCUAAAUGAAAGGUCAAAAGAAUCACUCAAAAUCAGAGGAUAAGGGUCUUGGUCAAUAGUCUACAGAAGUAAGUCCUAAGGUUUGAAUCUCGUGGCAUUCAGUAUUCAUUAUGAAUUGUAACAACUGAAUAACUCUGACUUUAAUUUAAGAAAACAGGUGUUAAUAAAAUUCUGCAAAUCCUGCAUGUGUGAUAAUAGAAGAUGGUGGUGUACAGAGACUUGGUAUGAAGGAAGGUACCUGGAAGUAAUCAUAGCCCUGGAGGUACUGGCAUUGGUCCAUGUCCUCAGCAGUAAGCUGCUUGGGCUGCCAACAAAGGUCUUGCUUGGUAUGGAAGAACACGUCUUGCUGGAUCUCAUUGGGAGCCACAGAUGAAGAAUUGACAAUGAUGUCCCACAGCUUGACGUUUCGAAUCUCCUCCACCUCCUCUUCUGUAAAUAUCCUGUCAGAAAGUGGAAAAGUACGCCUUGUCAAAAAGUAAGGAUUUUAUUAGGUGACUAAGAACAUUUAUUAGAAAUUCUAUGCAAUUAGAAAAAAAAUCAUCCUUUUGUUGUAUUAUACAUUUAAAUCGGUACUUAAUGCAGGUAGUUAAGUGAUGUAUACUAUUAAAACUCAACAUUGCAA